GAUGAACGCUGGCGGCGUGCCUAAUACAUGCAAGUCGAACGAACAGACGAGGAGCUUGCUCCUCUGACGUUAGCGGCGGACGGGUGAGUAACACGUGGAUAACCUACCUAUAAGACUGGGAUAACUUCGGGAAACCGGAGCUAAUACCGGAUAAUAUAUUGAACCGCAUGGUUCAAUAGUGAAAGACGGUUUUGCUGUCACUUAUAGAUGGAUCCGCGCCGCAUUAGCUAGUUGGUAAGGUAACGGCUUACCAAGGCAACGAUGCGUAGCCGACCUGAGAGGGUGAUCGGCCACACUGGAACUGAGACACGGUCCAGACUCCUACGGGAGGCAGCAGUAGGGAAUCUUCCGCAGUGGGCGAAAGCCUGACGGAGCAACGCCGCGUGAGUGAUGAAGGUCUUCGGAUCGUAAAACUCUGUUAUUAGGGAAGAACAAAUGUGUAAGUAACUAUGCACGUCUUGACGGUACCUAAUCAGAAAGCCACGGCUAACUACGUG
This 497-nucleotide ribosomal RNA is filed under the name uncultured bacterium. Its description in RNAcentral is "partial 16S ribosomal RNA". It matches the Rfam family "Bacterial small subunit ribosomal RNA", at positions 28 to 507 of the family's 1533-position model. The record is from RNAcentral.